RNAcentral lists this transfer RNA (84 nucleotides) under Candidatus Azambacteria bacterium RIFCSPHIGHO2_01_FULL_51_74. RNAcentral describes it as "tRNA-Leu". Lineage: Bacteria; Candidatus Azamiibacteriota. RNAcentral also lists the same sequence under 1 other name. The record is from RNAcentral.
GCUCGGGUGGUGGAAUUGGCAGACACGUAGCGUUCAGGGCGCUAUGACCGUAAGGUCGUGGGAGUUCAAGUCUCCCCCCGAGCA